Molecule: ribosomal RNA, 2640 nt
Filed under: Zea mays subsp. mexicana (Mexican teosinte)
Lineage: Eukaryota; Viridiplantae; Streptophyta; Magnoliopsida; Poales; Poaceae
Description: eukaryotic LSU rRNA
Rfam family: Eukaryotic large subunit ribosomal RNA (bases 380-2640)
Source: RNAcentral
ACUCUCGGCAACGGAUAUCUCGGCUCUCGCAUCGAUGAAGAACGUAGCAAAAUGCGAUACCUGGUGUGAAUUGCAGAAUCCCGCGAACCAUCGAGUUUUUGAACGCAAGUUGCGCCCGAAGCCUUCUGGCGGAGGGCACGUCUGCCUGGGCGUCACGCCAAAAGACACUCCCAACACCCCCCCGCGGGGCGAGGGACGUGGCGUCUGGCCCCCCGCGCCGCACGGCGAGGUGGGCCGAAGCAGGGGCUGCCGGCGAACCGCGCCGGGCGCAGCACGUGGUGGGCGACAUCAAGUUGUUGUUCUCGGUGCAGCGUCCCGGCGCGCGGCCGGCCAUUCGGCCCUAAGGACCCAUCGAGCGACCGAGCUUGCCCUCGGACCGCGACCCCAGGUCAGUCGGGACUACCCGCUGAGUUUAAGCAUAUAAAUAAGCGGAGGAGAAGAAACUUACGAGGAUUCCCCUAGUAACGGCGAGCGAACCGGGAGCAGCCCAGCUUGAGAAUCGGGCGGCCUCGCCGCCCGAAUUGUAGUCUGGAGAGGCGUCCUCAGCGACGGACCGGGCCCAAGUUCUCUGGAAAGGGACGCCUGGGAGGGUGAGAGCCCCGUCCGGCCCGGACCCUGUCGCACCACGAGGCGCCGUCAACGAGUCGGGUUGUUUGGGAAUGCAGCCCAAAUCGGGCGGUAAACUCCGUCCAAGGCUAAAUACAGGCGAGAGACCGAUAGCGAACAAGUACCGCGAGGGAAAGAUGAAAAGGACUUUGAAAAGAGAGUCAAAGAGUGCUUGAAAUUGCCGGGAGGGAAGCGGAUGGGGGCUGGCGACGCGCACCGGCCGUAUGCGGAACGGCUCCUGCUGGUCCGCCGAUCGGCUCGGGGCGUGGACCGUUGUCGCCCGCGCCGGCGGCCAAAGCCCGGGGGCCCUAGGCGCCCCCGGCAGCCGUCGUCGGCGCGGACGGUAUCCGCGCGCCUCUGGCGCGCCCCUCGGGGCGCUGCGCUGCAACGGCCUGCGAGCUCCCCAUCCGACCCGUCUUGAAACACGGACCAAGGAGUCUGACAUGCGUGCGAGUCGACGGGUUCAGAAACCUGAGAUGCGCAAGGAAGCUGACGAGCGGGAGGCCCUCACGGGCCGCACCGCUGGCCGACCCUGAUCUUCUGUGAAGGGUUCGAGUUGGAGCACGCCUGUCGGGACCCGAAAGAUGGUGAACUAUGCCUGAGCGGGGCGAAGCCAGAGGAAACUCUGGUGGAGGCUCGAAGCGAUACUGACGUGCAAAUCGUUCGUCUGACUUGGGUAUAGGGGCGAAAGACUAAUCGAACCAUCUAGUAGCUGGUUCCCUCCGAAGUUUCCCUCAGGAUAGCUGGAGCCCACACGAGUUCUAUCGGGUAAAGCCAAUGAUUAGAGGCAUCGGGGGCGCAACGCCCUCGACCUAUUCUCAAACUUUAAAUAGGUAGGACGGCGCGGCUGCUUCGGUGAGCCGUGCCACGGAAUCGGGAGCUCCAAGUGGGCCAUUUUUGGUAAGCAGAACUGGCGAUGCGGGAUGAACCGGAAGCCGGGUUACGGUGCCAAACUGCGCGCUAACCUAGAACCCACAAAGGGUGUUGGUCGAUUAAGACAGCAGGACGGUGGUCAUGGAAGUCGAAAUCCGCUAAGGAGUGUGUAACAACUCACCUGCCGAAUCAACUAGCCCCGAAAAUGGAUGGCGCUGAAGCGCGCGACCCACACCCGGCCAUCUGGGCGAGCGACAUGCCCCGAUGAGUAGGAGGGCGCGGCGGCCGCCGCAAAACCCGGGGCGCGAGCCCGGGCGGAGCGGCCGUCGGUGCAGAUCUUGGUGGUAGUAGCAAAUAUUCAAAUGAGAACUUUGAAGGCCGAAGAGGAGAAAGGUUCCAUGUGAACGGCACUUGCACAUGGGUAAGCCGAUCCUAAGGGACGGGGGAAACCCGGCAGAUAGCGCGAUCACGCGCGUCACCCGAAAGGGAAUCGGGUUAAGAUUUCCCGAGCCGGGACGUGGCGGCAGACGGCGACGGGGCCGGACGGGGCUCUCACCCUCCCAGGCGUCCCUUUCCAGAGAACUUGGGCCCGGUCCGUCGCUGAGGACGCCUCUCCAGACUACAAUUCGGGCGGCGAGGCCGCCCGAUUCUCAAGCUGGGCUGCUCCCGGUUCGCUCGCCGUUACUAGGGGAAUCCUCGUAAGUUUCUUCUCCUCCGCUUAUUUAUAUGCUUAAACUCAGCGGGUAGUCCCGACUGACCUGGGGUCGCGGUCCGAGGACAAGCUCGGUCGCUCGAUGGGUCCUUAGGGCCGACGCGCCUGUAACACCCCAGGUGUUACUCAGGGUGUCCACCCCAGGGUUACCCUUUUGUUUACCCAUUAUCACAUGAAGAUUGAAUUGGGCAAAGUAUACCAAACUUGGAAUUCUAGAUCCUAAGCAAGUGUAACCCACCUUGGAUGUCAUGCCCUAGCUUGUCAUGCACAUCUAAGUGGGGAUCUCCCAAAACCCUAAAGCAAAACCCCCAUAGGCAAUGGGAACCCUAAUUGAAGCCAUGAUCAAAAGAGCAUGUAAACCUUGUGAUCAUGGUUUGGGCCAAAUAUAAAAGUUGUAAUAUACUUAAUAACCUACAAUUAAUAGUAAGGGAGUACCCCCAAAAAGUUUU